RNAcentral lists this ribosomal RNA (425 nucleotides) under uncultured bacterium. Its description in RNAcentral is "partial 16S ribosomal RNA". It matches the Rfam family "Bacterial small subunit ribosomal RNA", at positions 359 to 775 of the family's 1533-position model. The record is from RNAcentral.
GAAUAUUGGACAAUGGGGGGAACCCUGAUCCAGCCAUGCCGCGUGUGUGAAGAAGGCCUUUUGGUUGUAAAGCACUUUAAGCGAGGAGGAGGCUACUCUAGUUAAUACCUAGAGAUAGUGGACGUUACUCGCAGAAUAAGCACCGGCUAACUCUGUGCCAGCAGCCGCGGUAAUACAGAGGGUGCAAGCGUUAAUCGGAUUUACUGGGCGUAAAGCGCGCGUAGGUGGCCAAUUAAGUCAAAUGUGAAAUCCCCGGGCUCAACCUGGGAACUGCAUCCAAAACUGGCGAGCUAGAGUAUGGGAGAGGAUGGUAGAAUUCCAGGUGUAGCGGUGAAAUGCGUAGAGAUCUGGAGGAAUACCGAUGGCGAAGGCAGCCAUCUGGCCUAAUACUGACACUGAGGUGCGAAAGCAUGGGGAGCAAACAG